This 750-nucleotide ribosomal RNA is filed under the name Acinetobacter sp. RNAcentral describes it as "bacterial SSU rRNA". It matches the Rfam family "Bacterial small subunit ribosomal RNA", at positions 56 to 801 of the family's 1533-position model. Lineage: Bacteria; Pseudomonadati; Pseudomonadota; Gammaproteobacteria; Moraxellales; Moraxellaceae. The record is from RNAcentral.
UGCAGUCGAGCGGAGAUGAGGUGCUUGCACCUUAUCUUAGCGGCGGACGGGUGAGUAAUGCUUAGGAAUCUGCCUAUUAGUGGGGGACAACAUUCCGAAAGGAAUGCUAAUACCGCAUACGCCCUACGGGGGAAAGCAGGGGAUCUUCGGACCUUGCGCUAAUAGAUGAGCCUAAGUCGGAUUAGCUAGUUGGUGGGGUAAAGGCCUACCAAGGCGACGAUCUGUAGCGGGUCUGAGAGGAUGAUCCGCCACACUGGGACUGAGACACGGCCCAGACUCCUACGGGAGGCAGCAGUGGGGAAUAUUGGACAAUGGGCGGAAGCCUGAUCCAGCCAUGCCGCGUGUGUGAAGAAGGCCUUUUGGUUGUAAAGCACUUUAAGCGAGGAGGAGGCUACUUAGAUUAAUACUCUAGGAUAGUGGACGUUACUCGCAGAAUAAGCACCGGCUAACUCUGUGCCAGCAGCCGCGGUAAUACAGAGGGUGCGAGCGUUAAUCGGAUUUACUGGGCGUAAAGCGUGCGUAGGCGGCUGAUUAAGUCGGAUGUGAAAUCCCUGAGCUUAACUUAGGAUUUGCAUUCGAUACUGGUCAGCUAGAGUAUGGGAGAGGAUGGUAGAAUUCCAGGUGUAGCGGUGAAAUGCGUAGAGAUCUGGAGGAAUACCGAUGGCGAAGGCAGCCAUCUGGCCUAAUACUGACGCUGAGGUACGAAAGCAUGGGGAGCAAACAGGAUUAGAUACCCUGGUAGUCCAUGCC